AUACGAAGGGUGCGAGCGUUAAUCGGAAUUACUGGGCGUAAAGCGCGCGUAGGCGGUUGGAUAAGUCGGAUGUGAAAGCCCCGGGCUCAACCUGGGAAUUGCAUUCGAAACUGUCCGGCUAGAGUAUGGUAGAGGGAAGCGGAAUUCCACAUGUAGCGGUGAAAUGCGUAUAUAUGUGGAGGAACACCAGUGGCGAAGGCGGCUUCCUGGACCAAUACUGACGCUGAGGUGCGAAAGCGUGGGGAGCAAACAGGAUUAGAAACCCUAGUAGUCC
Molecule: ribosomal RNA, 274 nt
Filed under: uncultured bacterium
Lineage: Bacteria
Description: partial 16S ribosomal RNA
Rfam family: Bacterial small subunit ribosomal RNA
Source: RNAcentral